CCCAGGCAGGCGCACGGCUUCUGCUCAGGGGGGUUUGGGGCACCCACACCUGUGAGCUGCUGGGCCUCCCUGUCCUAAGCUCUGCCAGGACUCUGCGUGGGGGUUGCACAGUGGUUCCUGGCCAGUAAGACAGACAGGUGACCCUAGAAAUCGAACCAGUGAUCUCUGAGCCUAUGGACUGAAGAUGAAGUGAGGGAACUCUACUCUCCUGGGCCGUGAAUGUGAUGAGUUUUUCUCGUGCUGUGACCUGCAGAUCAGCCCAGGUGGAGAGCUUUUCUGUGCAUUCCCUGAGAGGUGUACCACGUCUGCGGUAGGUCAGCCCCCACCCCACCCCUGCCCCUCUUUCUGGUCAUUCUUCACUUCUGUGGAUACUGUUCUAUCCUAGGGU
RNAcentral lists this long non-coding RNA (388 nucleotides) under Fukomys damarensis (Damara mole-rat). RNAcentral describes it as "lncRNA (ENSFDAG00000024481.1)". The record is from RNAcentral. Lineage: Eukaryota; Metazoa; Chordata; Mammalia; Rodentia; Bathyergidae.